This is an RNA transcript of Xenia sp. Carnegie-2017, 2324 nucleotides long. RefSeq lists it as uncharacterized. NCBI's taxonomy places the organism in Eukaryota, Metazoa, Cnidaria, Anthozoa, Malacalcyonacea, Xeniidae. The record is from RefSeq and is a predicted model, not a curated record. The transcript is spliced from 7 exons.
UUUUUCAUGAACAAAUAUAUGAUAUGUCACCUAUAGCAGUGUAGGUAGGUUCUUAGCCAAUUGCAAUCGAGAUUGCAUAAUAUGCAUAAUAAUAGUAUUUCCCAUGACUUCUGAUUGGGAAAAGCCAAAGGUCAUUUCUCACUGGAUCACUGGGGAAAGCCGAAAUCAUUUCUGAGUAGGAAAAGCUGAAAAUAUGUCGAAGCGCAGGCGUAACAAUUGUCAAUCGGUUGACGAUUUGCGAAAAGAUGUCAACGAGGAACUACAUCAAGAAUAUGUGGGGUCGAGGAUAUUAAGUGAUAUCCAAUCUAUUAAUUUGAAAGUCUGCAAUGAUCUAAAUGUUGAUGUAAUUCUGUUUGUUCUUGUUUUGAAAUAUGGGUUGUCACUUGUGUGCUCUAUUGCCAAUGUUGCGUCUUCCUUGCUUGUACUCCCCGUGAAUGUACAUAAAGAAGUGUUGGCUUUGGUAUGUCCCAAUUUAGAAGAAGAAGAUGGAAAUGUUCUUUUACAGUCCGCUUCUAAAUUAAAAGUUCCUAGUACAACCGAUAUGAAGUUGCAUGUAUUUACACCUCCAUGCUCCAAAUGUAUUAAGUGCAACCAUGAUCUUGUGAGCUACAAUAAGCCAGUAAAAGUUCAGGUACACGAUCUUUCUGGAACUACCGAUGGAGUGAAAGUUUCGCUUAGAUGCAAUCGCUGUAAUUUGCUUUAUGGAUAUUCCAAGUACGGUAAUGGGAAAGAUGGCUGGAUGUUAUAUCCCGAACAAAGAAAAAUGAUCGAGGCUACGGAUGUCUGUUUUGUUGAUUCAACUUUGCUUCAGUGGCAGCUGUCACUCGCUUGUCAUUCGUGGGUAUCAUUUAACGGUUUUUCUGAAGCGUUUAAUGAAGUAUACAAUGGCAAUUUUGGAGAGAAACAAGUUGCUGCUUCAUUUUGGGUCGGGGAGAUGGAGAAUGAGUGGAGGGAAUUGGGGCAACUGGACUUAUUUGGUUUGCUUAAAGAAGAUGGGGACUCUUCUAGGGUUCUAGAACAAAUAGACAAAAUUAGGGCGAGAAGUUUGUACGAGCAUACAUCAGACGAUUGUUCUGAUUCUUGCAAAGAGCGUGGUAAGUUAGAUGCAAUUGUAUUUUAAAAUUAAUUUAAAAGCUAUAAAUGUAUUCUAUUGGAAAAUAGCUGUGAUUCUCAUCAGGCUAAGAUAUUUUCGUAAUCAAACUUAUAGGAUGUGGAAGGCUAUGGGUUGCCGAUGGAAUAUGGAAAUUAAUGUUUCCUCAUUGCAUGAUGCGUAGAAAGAAUUUUGUAAAAGGUAUUCCAUUGCUGAACUAUCCCAAUGUAUGCACUGAGUCGCCUCAGCAUGGAAAGGCAUUCUGCGAACAGCAUGUGCAAUAUUUGGAAAAAAACUUCCCUAAUGUACCCACUAGUGUGCGUGGAUUUUUAAGAUAUUGUGGUGUGAAGCCAAGUAACAUAGGUGAAGAAUUGAUUGACGACACAGGUCUGCUUUCUAACAAUGACGUGUCAAAAAUGGACGAAACACUGGGAAAGCUUGAUAAAGAUGACGACACUUUUCCAGUAGGAAAUAGUGUUGUGGAGUCACAAGGCAAUGCUGAGUUCGUUAAUAAUGAGCCAGAUGCAAUUAAAGCUAUUUUAAGAGAUUGUGUUGAACCAACAAAAACAAAAUGCAAUAAGGAAACUGGGGGAAAACAAAGACUUCAAAAGUGGUCAAGAGGGCAUUUGUUUAUAGUUAGAGGAGGAGGAAUAAUCGAUAAAUGGAGUCCUCUUUAUAGAUCUGAAAGCCCUUCUCAAGUGUUUUUGAUAACUCUUUCUUGGCUGCGCAUUAUGUUAAAGGAAAUCAACCCAAUGAAUUCGAGUUCCGUUUUUUUUUCAUAUGACAACAUGUGCCACCUAGAUGGCUUACAAGCAGCGAAAAAAGGUUUUGCCAUGGUCUCAACCAUGGGAUAAAGCAUGGCUGUCAAUUCGUAAAAUAAUUGAUAGCCUUCAUAUCAAAAAUCACAAAGACGAGAAAUGCCUGGAGAAAUACAAUCCUUUGCCUUUAAAAACUGAAAUCCCAAAUGGAAAUACAAUGGCUGCUGAACAGACUUUCGUCUGGCUUUCCAGGUUUAAGAAGAUUCUGUGUGCUAUGCCCAAAGUGCAUCAUUUGUUUUAUUUACAUAGAAUGGUAAAGCACAGAAACAAAUAUACUGUUAGAUGCUAUAAGACUGGUAAAAAACCUCUUUUACCAGUCGUUCGUAAGACGGAAAGCUAAUUCAUUCCCUUUUUAUUUACGCAUCUGUAAUUGGAGAUGAGCAAUUAUAUAUGCAUGGUCGAUUAUCUACAACAAA